Molecule: ribosomal RNA, 2804 nt
Filed under: Haemophilus influenzae
Lineage: Bacteria; Pseudomonadati; Pseudomonadota; Gammaproteobacteria; Pasteurellales; Pasteurellaceae
Also listed under: 1 other name
Description: bacterial LSU rRNA
Rfam family: Bacterial large subunit ribosomal RNA
Source: RNAcentral
AGCGUACAAGGUGGAUGCCUUGGCAAUCAGAGGCGAAGAAGGACGUGCUAAUCUGCGAAAAGCUUGGAUGAGUCGAUAAGAGGCGUUUAAUCCAAGAUAUCCGAAUGGGGAAACCCAGUAGAUGAAGAAUCUACUAUCAACAAGUGAAUUCAUAGCUUGUUGAGGCAAACCGGGAGAACUGAAACAUCUAAGUACCCCGAGGAAAAGAAAUCAACCGAGAUUUCGUCAGUAGCGGCGAGCGAAAGCGAAAGAGCCAGUAAGUGAUAGCAAUAUAGUGAGGAGAAUGUGUUGGGAAGCACAAUCAAAGAGGGUGAUAAUCCCGUAUCUAAAAACCAUAUUGUGGUACUAAGCUAACGAGAAGUAGGGCGGGACACGUGAUAUCCUGUUUGAAGAAGGGGGGCCCAUCCUCCAAGGCUAAAUACUCCUGAUUGACCGAUAGUGAACCAGUACUGUGAAGGAAAGGCGAAAAGAACCCCGGUGAGGGGAGUGAAAUAGAACCUGAAACCUUGUACGUACAAGCAGUGGGAGCGAGGGCAACCUUGUGACUGCGUACCUUUUGUAUAAUGGGUCAGCGACUUAUAUUUUGUAGCGAGGUUAACCGAAUAGGGGAGCCGAAGGGAAACCGAGUCUUAACUGGGCGAAUAGUUGCAAGGUAUAGACCCGAAACCCGGUGAUCUAGCCAUGGGCAGGUUGAAGGUUGGGUAACACUAACUGGAGGACCGAACCGACUAAUGUUGAAAAAUUAGCGGAUGACUUGUGGCUGGGGGUGAAAGGCCAAUCAAACCGGGAGAUAGCUGGUUCUCCCCGAAAUCUAUUUAGGUAGAGCCUUGAGGUGACACCUUUGGGGGUAGAGCACUGUUUCGGCUAGGGGGCCAUCCCGGCUUACCAACCCGAUGCAAACUACGAAUACCAAAGAGUGAUACUCAGGAGACACACGGCGGGUGCUAACGUCCGUCGUGGAGAGGGAAACAACCCAGACCGCCAGCUAAGGUCCCCAAGUCUAUAUUAAGUGGGAAACGAAGUGGGAAGGCUUAGACAGCUAGGAUGUUGGCUUAGAAGCAGCCAUCAUUUAAAGAAAGCGUAAUAGCUCACUAGUCGAGUCGGCCUGCGCGGAAGAUGUAACGGGGCUGAAAUAUAGCACCGAAGCUGCGGCAUCAGAAUUUAUUCUGUUGGGUAGGGGAGCGUUGUGUAAGCGGAAGAAGGUUCAUCGAGAGGUGGGCUGGACGUAUCACAAGUGCGAAUGCUGACAUAAGUAACGAUAAAACGGGUGAAAAACCCGUUCGCCGGAAGACCAAGGGUUCCUGUCCAACGUUAAUCGGGGCAGGGUGAGUCGGCUCCUAAGGCGAGGCUGAAAAGCGUAGUCGAUGGGAAACAGGUUAAUAUUCCUGUACUUGGUAAAGCUGCGAUGUGGGGACGGAGUAGGUUAGGUUAUCGCACUGUUGGAUAUGUGCGUUUAAGUUGGUAGGUGGGAAGUUUAGGCAAAUCCGGACUUCCUUAACACAGAGAGAUGAUGACGAGGCUCUACGGAGCUGAAGUAACUGAUACCACACUUCCAGGAAAAGCCACUAAGCGAAAGGCUUUACUAAACCGUACUGAAAACCGACACAGGUGGUCAGGUAGAGAAUACUCAGGCGCUUGAGAGAACUCGGGUGAAGGAACUAGGCAAAAUAGCACCGUAACUUCGGGAGAAGGUGCGCCGGCGUAGAUUGUAAGGGCUAGCCCCUGAAGGUUGAACCGGUCGAAGAUACCAGCUGGCUGCAACUGUUUAUUAAAAACACAGCACUCUGCAAACACGAAAGUGGACGUAUAGGGUGUGAUGCCUGCCCGGUGCUGGAAGGUUAAUUGAUGGUGUCAUCGAAAGAGAAGCACCUGAUCGAAGCCCCAGUAAACGGCGGCCGUAACUAUAACGGUCCUAAGGUAGCGAAAUUCCUUGUCGGGUAAGUUCCGACCUGCACGAAUGGCAUAAUGAUGGCCAGGCUGUCUCCACCCGAGACUCAGUGAAAUUGAAAUCGCCGUGAAGAUGCGGUGUACCCGCGGCUAGACGGAAAGACCCCGUGAACCUUUACUAUAGCUUGACACUGAACAUUGAAUUUUGAUGUGUAGGAUAGGUGGGAGCCUUUGAAGCAGUGACGCCAGUCAUUGUGGAGGCGACCUUGAAAUACCACCCUUUAACGUUUGAUGUUCUAACGAAGAUGACGAAACGUGGUCUCGGACAGUGUCUGGUGGGUAGUUUGACUGGGGCGGUCUCCUCCCAAAGCGUAACGGAGGAGCACGAAGGUUUGCUAAUCACGGUCGGACAUCGUGAGGUUAGUGCAAUGGUAUAAGCAAGCUUAACUGCGAGACAGACAAGUCGAGCAGGUACGAAAGUAGGUCAUAGUGAUCCGGUGGUUCUGAAUGGAAGGGCCAUCGCUCAACGGAUAAAAGGUACUCCGGGGAUAACAGGCUGAUACCGCCCAAGAGUUCAUAUCGACGGCGGUGUUUGGCACCUCGAUGUCGGCUCAUCACAUCCUGGGGCUGAAGUAGGUCCCAAGGGUAUGGCUGUUCGCCAUUUAAAGUGGUACGCGAGCUGGGUUUAGAACGUCGUGAGACAGUUCGGUCCCUAUCUGCCGUGGGCGUAGGAUGAUUGAUUGGGGCUGCUCCUAGUACGAGAGGACCGGAGUGGACGCAUCACUGGUGUUCCGGUUGUGUCGCCAGACGCAUUGCCGGGUAGCUAAAUGCGGAAGAGAUAAGUGCUGAAAGCAUCUAAGCACGAAACUUGCCAAGAGAUGAGUCAUCCCUGACUUUAAGUCAGUAAGGGUUGUUGU